Molecule: transfer RNA, 72 nt
Filed under: Tringa nebularia
Lineage: Eukaryota; Metazoa; Chordata; Aves; Charadriiformes; Scolopacidae
Description: tRNA-Glu
Source: RNAcentral
AGUUCCCGCCUGGUUAUUCUCCAAGACUUACGGCCUGAAAAACCGUCGUUGUUGUACUUCAACUACAAGAAC